This 2210-nucleotide long non-coding RNA is filed under the name Citrus x clementina. RNAcentral describes it as "Citrus clementina (C. clementina) long non-coding RNA (CCLE_LNC001652)". The record is from RNAcentral. Lineage: Eukaryota; Viridiplantae; Streptophyta; Magnoliopsida; Sapindales; Rutaceae.
ACCCCCCAAGGCUAUAGCCCACCCGUAUUUGUGGCCUUUUUCCGCUGGACGAACUUGCGCGCCAGCCGUCGGGGGGUUAUUUUUGGGCGCAGCUUUGCCCGCGGCCUAUUUUUGGCACACGGAGGCCCCUCGCAAAUUCUCGCGGCAUUCCGAGUCCGGCGGAUGAAGUUGGCCAGCCCCACCCCCCAAGGCUAUAGCCCACCCGUAUUUGUGGCCUUUUUCCGCGGGACGAACUUGGCGCGCCAGCCGUCGGGGGGUUAUUUUUGGGCGCAGCUUUGUCCGCGGCCUAGUUUUGGCACACGGAGGCCCCUCGCAAAGUCUCGCGGUAUUCCGAGUCCGGCGGACGAAGUUGGCCAGCCCCACCCCCCAAGGCUAUAGCCCACCCGUUUUUGCGGCCUUUUUGCGCUGGACGAACAUGGCGCCCCGGCCUUUGGACGGUUAUUUUUGGGCGCCGCUUUGCCCGCGGCCUAUUUUUGGCACACGGAGGCCCCUCGCAAAUUCUCGCGGCAUUCCGAGUCCGGCGGGCGAAGUUGGCCAGCCCCACCCCCCAAGGCUAUAGCCCACCCGUAUUUGUGGCCUUUUUCCGCGGGACGAAAUUGGCGCGCCAGCCGUCGGGGGGUUAUUUUUGGGCGCAGCUUUGUCCGCGGCCUAGUUUUGGCACACGGAGGCCCCUCGCAAAGUCUCGCGGUAUUCCGAGUCCGGCGGACGAAGUUGGCCAGCCCCACCCCCCAAGGCUAUAGCCCACCCGUUUUUGUGGCCUUUUUGCGCGGGACGAACUUGGCGCCCCGGCCUUCGGGCGGUUAUUUUUGGGCGCGGCUUUGCCCGCGGCCUAUGUUUGCCACCCGGAGGCCCCUCGUAAAGUCUCGCGGCAGUCCGAGUCCGGUGGACGAAGUGGGCCGGCCCCACCCCCCAAGGCUAUAGCCCACCCGUUUUUGUGGCCUUUUUCCGCUGGACGAACUUGGCGCCCCAGCCUUCGGGGGGUUAUUUUUGGGCGCGGCUUUGCCCGCGGCCUAGUUUUGGCACACGGAGGCCGCUCGCAAAGUCUCGCGGCAUUCCGAGUCCGGCUGACGAAGUUGGCCAGCCCCACCCCCCAAGGCUAUAGCCCACCCGUUUUUGUGGCCUUUUUGCGCGGGACGAACUUGGCGCCCCGGCGUUCGGGCGGUUAUUUUUGGGCGCGGCUUUGCCCGCGGCCUAUGUUUGCCACCCGGAGGCCCCUUGUAAAGUCUCGCGGCAGUCCGAGUCCGGUGGACGAAGUUGGCCGGCCCCACCCCCCAAGGCUAUAGCCCACCCGUUUUUGUGGCCUUUUUCCGCUGGACGAACUUGGCGCCCCAGCCUUCGGGGGGUUAUUUUUGGGCGCGGCUUUGCCCGCGGCCUAUUUUUGGCACACGGAGGCCCCUCGCAAAGUCUCGCGGCAUUCCGAGUCCGGCGGACGAAGUUGGCCAGCCCCACCCCCCAAGGCUAUAGCCCACCCGUUUUUGUGGCCUUUUUGCGCGGGACGAACUUGGCGCCCCGGUCUUCGGGCAGUUAUUUUUUGGCGCAGCUUUGCCCGCGGCCUAUGUUUGCCACCCAGAGUCCCCUCGCAAAGUCUCGCGGCAUUCCGAGUCCGGCGGACAAAGUUGGCCAGCCCCACCCCCCAUGGCGAUAGCCCACCCGUUUUUGUGGCCUUUUUCCGCUGGACGAACUGGGCGCCCCAGCCUUCGGGGGGUUAUUUUUGGGCGCGGCUUUACCCGCGGCCUAGUUUUGGCACACGGAGGCCCCUCGAAAAGUCUCGCGGCAUUCCGAUUCCGGCGGACGAAGUUGGCCAGCCCAACCCCCCAAGGCUAUAGCCCACCCGUUUUUGUGGCCUUUUUUCGCUGGACGAACUUGGCGCCCCGGCCUUCGGACGGCUAUUUUUUGGCGCGGCUUUGCCCGCGGCCUAAUUUUGGCACACGGAGGCCCCUCGCAAAGUCUCGCUGCAUUCCGAGUCCGGCGGACGAAGUUGGCCAGCCCCACCCCCCAAGGCUAUAGCCCACCCGUUUUUGUGGCCUUUUUCCGCUGGACGAACUUGGCGCCCCAGCCUUCGGGGGGUUAUUUUUGGGCGCGGCUUUGCCCGCGGCCUAGUUUUGGCACACGGAGGCCCCUCGCAAAGUCUCGCGGCAUUCCGAGUCCGGCUGACGAAGUUGGCCAGCCCCACCCCCCAAGGCUAUAGCCCACCCGUUUUUGUGGCCUUU